UAUGUAGGCGGCGCUGUUAGUCGGGUGUGAAAUCCCUCGGCUCAACCGAGGAAUUGCGCCCGAUACUGCAGUGCUUGAGGGAGACAGAGGUAAGCGGAACUGAUGGUGGAGCGGUGAAAUGCGCUGAUAUCAUCAGGAACACCGGUGGCGAAAGCGGCUUACUGGGUCUCUUCUGACGCUGAGAUACGAAAGCUAGGGUAGCGAAGG
Molecule: ribosomal RNA, 207 nt
Filed under: uncultured bacterium
Lineage: Bacteria
Description: partial 16S ribosomal RNA
Rfam family: Bacterial small subunit ribosomal RNA
Source: RNAcentral